GGAGUUGUGGCUCAGUGGUAGAGUGCUUACCCAUCAUGUGUGAGGCACUGGGUUUGAUUCUCAGCACCA
RNAcentral lists this transfer RNA (69 nucleotides) under Marmota monax (woodchuck). RNAcentral's name for it is "tRNA.Asp". The record is from RNAcentral. Lineage: Eukaryota; Metazoa; Chordata; Mammalia; Rodentia; Sciuridae.